GGGCUCGCUUCGGCAGCACAUAUACUAAAACUGGAACGAUACAGAGAAGAUUAGCGUGGCCCCUGCGCAAGGAUGACACGCCAAUUCAUGAGGCGUUCCGUACGUUU
Molecule: small nuclear RNA, 107 nt
Organism: Physeter macrocephalus (sperm whale)
Lineage: Eukaryota; Metazoa; Chordata; Mammalia; Artiodactyla; Physeteridae
Source: Ensembl